Molecule: long non-coding RNA, 365 nt
Organism: Oncorhynchus tshawytscha (Chinook salmon)
Lineage: Eukaryota; Metazoa; Chordata; Actinopteri; Salmoniformes; Salmonidae
Source: Ensembl
GCAGGGUCUGUGUGAUGCAUAGACCUUGGAUGUGCUGAGCUGUGGGAGUUGGAGCAGCCUGCAUAGGAACCUCUCAGCUGCACUGGCUGACCCAGACCCUGACCUCAGUGAUAAGGUCCGGGGCUUUUUUUAUCAAAAACAUUCUCUUCUCCACUGAAUGUAAUAAGAGAGAUCUACAACAAGUUUAGCUAAAAGUCUGGAGUCUGACUUCAUGUACCUUAAACUGGGGCUCCCGAGCGGUCUAAGGCAUUGGAUCUGUGCUUGAGGCGUAAACAAGAAUUUGUUCUUAACUCACUUGCCUAGUUAAAUAAAGAUGAGACUAAUGAAUGAUUUUCAGAAGGAAGUGACAAUCUUUUGGAUUCGCC